RNAcentral lists this ribosomal RNA (460 nucleotides) under uncultured bacterium. Its description in RNAcentral is "partial 16S ribosomal RNA". It matches the Rfam family "Bacterial small subunit ribosomal RNA", at positions 338 to 795 of the family's 1533-position model. The record is from RNAcentral.
CCUACGGGAGGCUGCAGUGAGGAAUAUUGGUCAAUGGGCGCGAGCCUGAACCAGCCAAGUAGCGUGAAGGAUGACUGCCCUAUGGGUUGUAAACUUCUUUUAUAUGGGAAUAAAGUGCAGUACGUAUACUGCUUUGCAUGUACCUUAUGAAUAAGGAUCGGCUAACUCCGUGCCAGCAGCCGCGGUAAUACGGAGGAUCCGAGCGUUAUCCGGAUUUAUUGGGUUUAAAGGGAGCGUAGGCGGGUUGUUAAGUCAGUUGUGAAAGUUUGCGGCUCAACCGUAAAAUUGCAGUUGAUACUGGCAGCCUUGAGUACAGUAGAGGUAGGCGGAAUUCGUGGUGUAGCGGUGAAAUGCUUAGAUAUCACGAAGAACUCCGAUUGCGAAGGCAGCCUGCUGGACUGUAACUGACGCUGAUGCUCGAAAGUGUGGGUAUCAAACAGGAUUAGAUACCCUGGUAGUC